Molecule: small nucleolar RNA, 81 nt
Organism: Vitis riparia (riverbank grape)
Lineage: Eukaryota; Viridiplantae; Streptophyta; Magnoliopsida; Vitales; Vitaceae
Product: small nucleolar RNA R24
Exons: 1
Source: RefSeq, a predicted model, not a curated record
GAAGUCGUGACGAACUCCUAACAUGUAAGAAAAUUUGUCUUUCAAGGUCUCUUCAAUGAAAUAUACUUGUUAUGCAACUUG